Diceros bicornis minor is the source of this 134-nucleotide small nucleolar RNA. RefSeq annotates it as small nucleolar RNA SNORA67. The transcript has a single exon. Lineage: Eukaryota; Metazoa; Chordata; Mammalia; Perissodactyla; Rhinocerotidae. The record is from RefSeq and is a predicted model, not a curated record.
UCCCAAGGAGAUUCCCUCUGCAGGGGACAAAUCAUAUACCCCAGGAAUGUAGCCCCUUGGAAAAAUAUCUGAUAUUCUUGGGAAUAUUGUAGGUGAACAAAUGUGCUAUUUUUGCUCUUUAAUUGUCAGUAUAU